UGGGGAAUCUUGCGCAAUGGGCGAAAGCCUGACGCAGCCAUGCCGCGUGAAUGAUGAAGGUCUUAGGAUUGUAAAAUUCUUUCACCGGGGACGAUAAUGACGGUACCCGGAGAAGAAGCCCCGGCUAACUUCGUGCCAGCAGCCGCGGUAAUACGAAGGGGGCUAGCGUUGCUCGGAAUUACUGGGCGUAAAGGGAGCGUAGGCGGAUAGUUUAGUCAGAGGUGAAAGCCCAGGGCUCAACCUUGGAAUUGCCUUUGAUACUGGCUAUCUUGAGUACGGAAGAGGUAUGUGGAACUCCGAGUGUAGAGGUGAAAUUCGUAGAUAUUCGGAAGAACACCAGUGGCGAAGGCGACAUACUGGUCCGUUACUGACGCUGAGGCUCGAAAGCGUGGGGAGCAAACAG
Molecule: ribosomal RNA, 403 nt
Filed under: Pseudomonas sp.
Lineage: Bacteria; Pseudomonadati; Pseudomonadota; Gammaproteobacteria; Pseudomonadales; Pseudomonadaceae
Also listed under: 2 other names
Description: partial 16S ribosomal RNA
Rfam family: Bacterial small subunit ribosomal RNA
Source: RNAcentral